Carassius gibelio (silver crucian carp) is the source of this 306-nucleotide long non-coding RNA. RefSeq lists it as uncharacterized. The record is from RefSeq and is a predicted model, not a curated record. Lineage: Eukaryota; Metazoa; Chordata; Actinopteri; Cypriniformes; Cyprinidae. The transcript is spliced from 4 exons.
GUCAGAGGUCAGCUCCGCCCCUGAGACACACACAUCCACUCGUUAACCCCUUCCAGACACGUCCAGCCACGGGUCAGAGGUCAGCUCCGCCCCUGAGACACACACAUCCACUCGUUAACCCCUUCCAGACACGUCCAGCCGCGGGUCAGAGGUCAGCUCCGCCCCUGAGACACACACAUCCACUCAUUAACCCCUUCCAGACACGUCCAGCCGAGGGUCAGAGGUCAGCUCCGCCCCUGAGACACACACAUCUGCUCAUUAACCCCUUCCAGACACGUCCAGCCGCGGGUCAGAGGUCAGCUCUGU